AGCUCCAAUAGCGUAUAUUAAAGUUGUUGCAGUUAAAAAGCUCGUAGUUGGAUUUCUGGUUUGGGCGUCCGGUUUUUUUGUGCUUGUCACGAAUUGUACUAUGGAUACUCGAGCCAUUUUUUGUGAGGAAAUUUUUCUGCCAUUAAAUUGGUGGUUUUAUAGACUCGCAUCGUUUACUGUGAAAAAAUUAGAGUGUUUAAAGCAGGCAUUUGCUCAUUGAAUACAUUAGCAUGGAAUAAUAAAAUACGACCUUGGUGGUCUAUUUUGUUGGUUUGCACACCAGGGUAAUGAUUAAUAGGGACAGUUGGGGGUAUUCAUAUUUCAGCGUCAGAGGUGAAAUUCUUGGAUCGCUGAAAGAUGAGCUUAGGCGAAAGCAUUUACCAAGGAUGUUUUCAUUAAU
Molecule: ribosomal RNA, 400 nt
Filed under: phytoplankton environmental sample
Lineage: Eukaryota
Description: partial small subunit ribosomal RNA
Rfam family: Eukaryotic small subunit ribosomal RNA
Source: RNAcentral